RNAcentral lists this ribosomal RNA (603 nucleotides) under uncultured bacterium. Its description in RNAcentral is "bacterial SSU rRNA". It matches the Rfam family "Bacterial small subunit ribosomal RNA", at positions 24 to 666 of the family's 1533-position model. The record is from RNAcentral.
UCAGGAUGAACGCUGGCAGUAUGCGUAACACAUGCAAGUCGAACGAAGUUUUUCGGAACUUAGUGGCGGACGGGUGAGUAACGCGUGAGAAUCUGCCUUAAGGAUUGGGAUAACAGCUGGAAACGGCUGCUAAUACCGGAUGUGCCGCAACGUGAAAGAGGUUUCCUCGCCUAAAGAAGAGCUCGCGUCUGAUUAGCUAGUUGGUAGGGUAAAAGCCUACCAAGGCGACAAUCAGUAGCUGGUCUGAGAGGAUGAUCAGCCACACUGGGACUGAGACACGGCCCAGACUCCUACGGGAGGCAGCAGUGGGGAAUUUUCCGCAAUGGGCGCAAGCCUGACGGAGCAAGACCGCGUGAGGGAGGAAGGCUCUUGGGUCGUAAACCUCUUUUGUCAGGGAAGAAGAAAGUGACGGUACCUGACGAAUCAGCCUCGGCUAACUCCGUGCCAGCAGCCGCGGUAAUACGGAGGAGGCAAGCGUUAUCCGGAAUUAUUGGGCGUAAAGCGUCCGUAGGUGGCCCAUCAAGUCUGCGGUCAAAGACCGGGGCUUAACCCUGGAAAGGCCGUGGAAACUGACGAGCUAGAGUGCAGUAGGGGUAAAGGGAA